Molecule: ribosomal RNA, 1413 nt
Filed under: Triticum aestivum (bread wheat)
Lineage: Eukaryota; Viridiplantae; Streptophyta; Magnoliopsida; Poales; Poaceae
Description: partial small subunit ribosomal RNA
Source: RNAcentral
AUGGCGGAGCAAUGCCUGGUCCUCCCCGACGAUGUGAUGGAGGAUAUCUUUGCGCGGCUGCCGGCUAAGUCAGUACUCAGGUGCCGCUGCCUCUCCCAUGCCUGGGCAACCAGGCUCUCGACGGACGAUUUUGCCGAUCGCCACCUCCGCCUCGCCAACCGCCACGGUGUCCCGAGGAUCCUGUUGUUACAACACUCGGCCAGCCAUGGGCAGAUGAUGAACAUGUGGUCGCCAGACAAAGCUAGCGGUGCAACGCUGAUGGACAACGUCCCGCGUGAUCUCACGCACGACCGCUUUCCAUACAACCCCUCAACGUUCGGGCGCACGCGCAUCGACCAAGACAGAGACUUCCCACGCCUUGUUACUCAGCAGUGUCGUGGCCUCGUUAUCCUCCAAGCCGCCACCGCAGGGAUGCACUACCUGUGCAACCCAUCCACCGGCCAAAUGACGGUUCUCCCUGACGGCCGAUCCACGGGCUGCAGGAGUCUCAUGGAGUCGUAUAAGAGGUAUGCGUGCCUAGGGCUGGGCUAUGAUGUGCGCACAAGGAAGCAUAAGGUUGUGCGCGUCUACUAUCGUGGUUGUGGUCCUGACAAACUCCCUCUAUCUGCCGGAUGCGAGGUCUACGUGGUCAACACCACGGAGCUCUGGAGGCCGGUGGAGCGAAGCCGCCAGGAGAAGCCUCUCGGUUGGGUAAAUCAAAAUAUGACCAGCGUCUUUGCACAAGGGCACGUGCAUUGGCUAGCUCAGCGGAAGGUGUACUCUCAGCUUGAAGCGAAGCCCACAGUACCGCAAGAGAUGCUCAUUGUUUCCUUCUCCCUCGCCGAUGAAACUUUCGGGGCCAUUCUGCCUCCAUUAGGCAUAGAGAAGGAGGGUCUGCUUAAGCAUCAUUUGACGAAUCUCGGUGGGCGCCUGUGCCUCUUAUACAACAUGUGGCCCCAAUAUCUCGACGUCUACCUAUUACAGGGACACAACACAUCGACGUGGGAUUUACACUGCCGAAUCGAUCUAGCCACAAACUCAUUGAAGAUCUCCAUUCAGAUCAGCCCACUUGCCAUCCUCGAUGGUUGUCGCAUCCUCCUCGUACAACCACGUUUACCAUCGGCUCGCACAACCGGUUUCAAACUAUUUCCGUACAACCCCAUGACUGGCGAUAUCGAGAACCCCUUGGACAGUAGUGGUGUGGUCACUCAUCAAAGCAUAGUCUUAAGACAUGCCACACUAUACGAGGAAAGCAUGGCCUUUCCUGGAAAACAAUACAAAGACAUCAUCUUCGCAGUGUCGCUGGUGUUACGCCGUGUACCAACUUAUGCCCUCAUGAGGCUUAAGCUUGUUUGCCGGAGCUGGCGUACCAUGAUCGAGAGCAGACAAUUUGAUGUAUCAGUAAGUACGUGUGAAAAAUUUGAAGACUACUAA